RNAcentral lists this long non-coding RNA (1456 nucleotides) under Canis lupus familiaris (dog). RNAcentral's name for it is "lncRNA (ENSCAFG00845022619.1)". Lineage: Eukaryota; Metazoa; Chordata; Mammalia; Carnivora; Canidae. The record is from RNAcentral.
UUUUAUUUAUUUGAGGGAUCCCUGGGUGGCACAGUGGUUUGGCGCCUGCCUUUGGCCCAGGGCGCGAUCCUGGAGACCCGGGAUGGAAUCCCACGUCGGGCUCCCAGUGCAUGGAGCCUGCUUCUCCCUCUGCCUGUGUCUCUGCCUCUCUCUCUGUGACUAUCGUAAAUAAAUUAAAAAAUUAAAAAAAAAAAAGAUUUUGUUUAUUUGAGAGAGAGAGCUCAAGCAGGGGGAGCAGCUGAGGGAGAGGGAGAAGCAGGCUCCCAGCUCAGGAUGGCUCAGCUCCAUCCCAGGACCCGGGAUCAAGACCUGAGCCAAAAGCAGACGCUUAACCAACUGAGCCAAACAGGCGCCUCAGUUCAGUACAUCUUAAUUUACAGCAUACAGGCCACAAAUGAUAAAAUGAAGACUUUUUUUUUUUUUUUUUUUUUUUUUUUUACUGAGUCAGCAGAGACAACAGUCUAAUUCCCCUGUGCUUCCCCAAAGUUACUUACAAUUCUGUGACGAGAGGAUCAUAUCAUGUGCCAAUUACUGCCCUCUACUAGAGUGAGCCGUUGUCAGGCACUCUGCUCUAUACAAUGUCUGUUUUCUGCUUCCAGUCUCAGUCCUUUCUCCACAUGGUCUAGGUACACAUGGAAUAGUCAGUUCUCACCUUUUGGAGGGGACAUAGUGGCAGUGUCAAAAUACAGGCCUAGAAAACAGGUCAUAAAGCAAAUCAAUAUAGAGGCGAAACUGCUUUGCCAUAUAAACCAUAUAAUUGCUGGUUGUAAUUCUGGCUUUUGGUUAAAUGUUAAGUGUAACAGUCAACCAACCUCAAAGCCAAAUCAAACUCAAUAGCAACAACAGAUCUUUCAAAAACUGUAAUUUACAUACAGGUUCUGAAAAACAGACAUCAAUGUCAUAAAGAUUUUAUAUAAAAGCUCUAAGGGUACAUAAAAGUAGAUCUUUAUCACAUUAUAAAUAGGACUUAAAUGUCCUAGCAGAAAACAAAUGCUCCACAUUUGAGCCACAGUUUUGUCUUCAGUUUCUAAAAGCUUUCUCUGGGGUGUACCUGGCUGGCUUAGUCAGUAGAGCAUGAGACUUGAUCUUGGGGUCUGAGUUCAAGCCCCAUGAUGGGUAUAGAGCUUAAAAAAAUGCUUUCAUUGGUGUGACGUGGAUAGUCUUUUAUACAAUAGCCCAAGAAAAUUUAUUAGAAAACCUAUUUCACUGAAUAAGGUGGUACCAGUAAGCAGAUGGAUUCAGAAGCAUAGUAUUUAAAGAACUGCAGCAGAUGCUCAAUAUGUGGUUUUUUUUAUGAUUAUGAUGAUGGUGUUUUUUGAAAAGUAUUUUUAAAUAUAAAUACUUUACAUUCUAUCUCCCAUCUCCUCAGAGACACACAAAUAAAGGCCAACAGAAAAUAGGUUAAACUAUACUUCAUUGACAAGUUUUAGAUAAUCAAUUAGAUUACCAAUGGCCC